CCUACGGGUGGCAGCAGUGAGGAAUAUUGGUCAAUGGACGAGAGUCUGAACCAGCCAAGUAGCGUGAAGGAUGACUGCCCUAUGGGUUGUAAACUUCUUUUAUAUGGGAAUAAAAUGUUCCACGUGUGGGAUUUUGUAUGUACCAUAUGAAUAAGGCUCGGCUAACUCCGUGCCAGCAGCCGCGGUAAUACGGAGGAUACGAGCGUUAUCCGGAUUUAUUGGGGUUAAGGGGAGCGUAGGUGGAUUGUUAAGUCAGUUGUGAAAGUUUGCGGCUCAACCGUAAAAUUGCAGUUGAAACUGGCAGUCUUGAGUACAGUAGAGGUUGGCGGAAUUCGUGGUGUAGCGGUGAAAUGCUUAGAUAUCACGAAGAACUCCGAUUGCGAAGGCAGUUCACUGGACUGCAACUGACACUGAGGCUCGAAAGUGUGGGUAUCAAACAGGAUUAGAUACCCCAGUAGUC
This 460-nucleotide ribosomal RNA is filed under the name uncultured bacterium. RNAcentral describes it as "partial 16S ribosomal RNA". It matches the Rfam family "Bacterial small subunit ribosomal RNA", at positions 338 to 795 of the family's 1533-position model. The record is from RNAcentral.